AAUACCAAAGCGAAGGCAUCUUCUGGAACAUUACUGACGCUGAGGCGCGAAAAGCGUGGGGAGCAAACAGGAUUAGAUACCCUGGUAGUCCACGCCCUAAACGAUGAAUGUUAGUCGUUGGUAUCCUAGAGAUAUCAGUGAUGCAGUUAACACAUUAAACAUUCCGCCUGGGGAGUACGGUCGCAAGAUUAAAACUCAAAGGAAUAGACGGGGACCCGCACAAGUGGUGGAGCAUGUGGUUUAAUUCGAAGAUACGCGAAGAACCUUACCUAGCCUUGACAUAUUUUAGAAUCUUUUAGAGAUAGAGGAGUGCCUUCGGGAGCUAAUAUACAGGUGCUGCACGGCUGUCGUCAGCUCGUGUCGUGAGAUGUUGGGUUAAGUCCCGCAACGAGCGCAACCCUCGUCACUAGUUACUAACGGUUCGGCCGAGGACUCUAGUGAGACUGCCUUCGCAAGGAGGAGGAAGGUGAGGACGACGUCAAGUCAUCAUGGCCCUUACGGCUAGGGCAACACACGUGCUACAAUGGCCAGGACAAUGAGAGGCAAUACCGCGAGGUGGAGCAAAUCUAUAAACCUGGUCUCAGUUCGGAUUGUAGUCUGCAACUCGACUACAUGAAGCUGGAAUCACGUAGUAAUCGUAGAGUCAGCUA
RNAcentral lists this ribosomal RNA (650 nucleotides) under uncultured Campylobacterota bacterium. RNAcentral describes it as "bacterial SSU rRNA". It matches the Rfam family "Bacterial small subunit ribosomal RNA", at positions 705 to 1355 of the family's 1533-position model. The record is from RNAcentral. Lineage: Bacteria; Pseudomonadati; Campylobacterota.